CAUGGAAUUUUGCUGUAAACUUCCGCUUCCGGUACACCAUCCUCGUGCUUCUGUUUACAACUGUCGCAGUCACUUCCUUACCUUCGUUGUUCUGUCAGCCGUGGCUCGACGCUCCACACCUGGCCACCCCACUGAGAAAGUUGGAGGCAAAUGAUGGACUCUGAUUCAUCCAGGGCUGGCAUUGAGUCUGCAUCUCGGAAUCACAGAACAAAGAAGAAGAAGAAAAAAGGCUCAGCAGGUAAAUCCCCUAGUACCAAGGGAAGUACCUUAAAUGACUGUAGUCCCAAGGAUGGGAACAUUGACAACAAGACACCCUUGAAUCCUCUCAUGGAUACCUCAAAUAAUGUUGAGUUAGGGACCAAUUCAUCAGACCCUAAAGACACCCUAAAUAAUAUUGACACUCUAGAUCCUAAUCCGGAUAUAGCUGGUGCCACUGAUCCUAAGAACAAGAUGAUGGGGUCAGCCCCUAUAAGCACAUUAAACAAUAUUGACACUGGCAUCAAUGUCUCAGAGUCUGGUUUAACUCUUGCUAAGGAUUCUUGGAUAACUAAAACUGAUUCUACAAUUGAGAAGAAGAAGAAAAAUUUGAAUUCUCCCCAGAAUAAUUUAGACAACGUUGAGAUUGAGGUGAAUAAUUCAGAUUCUUGUCCAACUUUUCAUAGCAGUUCAUUGAUAGAAGAAGCUCAUGGUAAUGUUAAUCUCAGAAAUCUCAGAAGUACUGGCAUUGAAAGUGAUAACAUGGGUCAUGCAGAAUCAAGUGACCCCCAUGAAUCAGAUGCACCUCACCCCUCUGUCAACAGCAACAUUGGCUUGGAAUUUCCAUAUACAGAAAGACUGGUAGAAAACAUAGAGGGUGCACAGCAGUUCACUUUGUUCCGUCAGCUGACCUCUAUGGGAAAACUUGAAGACAUAAUUCUAAGAAAUAGCGUGAGGGUUUUGAAGCUGGUGGGUUGUCAUUUGAGUUCACUGCCUGAAGACUUGGGUAACCUGUUAUAUCUGGAGGCCUUGGUAUGCAGUGAAAACAAACUCACAGAGCUUCCACAGUCUGUUGGUUAUCUUCAGCAUUUGAAAGUGUUACAAGUUGAUAUGAAUCGCUUAAAACAGCUUCCGGCAAACAUCGGAUCCUUGAAGUCUUUGAAGUUGCUUGCUGCCAAUGACAACCAGUUGGAGUAUCUGCCAGCAAGCAUUUCGGUGCUAGAAAACCUCCAGACUCUCGACUUGUCGAACAAUUGUUUGCGAAGCCUGCCAUUACACUUUCAGUCAUCUUCAUGUCUCAACCAACUUUACAUCCAGAAAAACUCUAUUGAAAAGUUACCACCUUGGAUAGCAAAAUUGUCGAAAAUUCAAGAAUUCCAGGUUGGUGAGAACCAGUUGACCGAGUGGCCGGACUUUGAAGAGUUUGGUCGCACAGCCACAGAGCUCACGGUGUUAGAUGUGUCAGAAAACCGGCUGAGUGCUCUGUCCAGUGGCUUUGGAGGACUACAAUCAUUGAAUUGUUUAAAUUUGGGCCGAAACCCUUUUGUUGACAAUCAGAAUGCAGAAUGUGUUGGCAAUCUGUUGAAAGGGCUGCCAGACAGCUUCUGUCAGCUCCAUGCUGUUACUUUGUUAAGCAUUGAUGGGAAUUGCUUGCAGAACUUACCCGAUAAUUUUGGUGAUUUGCGGUCCCUGAAGAUGCUGAACCUGUGCGACAACGAACUUGAAGCGUUACCAGAUUCUUUCUCUUACCUGAACUCUUUACAACUAUGUCUGCUUUCAAGGAACUCACUGAAUUGCCUACCUGAGCAGUUUGGACACCUGCCUGCUCUCAAGCACCUGGAGGUGUCUCACAACAACCUGGUGGACUUGCCAUCAUCAUUUGGUAAGUUGUCUACGCAAUUAGUCUACCUAGACCUUUGCAAUAAUUGCAUCCUGCAUGAACUAAAGAUCCUUGAGAAAUUCGAAAGGCUCACCUUCCUGGACGUUGGUAGCAACCCAUUUGUGCAGUGUGAUUUGUCGUCCACCUCUCGUGCUGUGAAUCCCCAACUCACCUCAGCCUGUAAGCACUACUUCACUACAUCACUUGCAGGACAGUUUGAAGAUUUUGAUAGUGACGAAGAAGGAAGGGAUGAAGGUAAAAACUGUGAUGAUGAUGAUGAAGAUGAUGAAGAUAAAGAUAAGAAAGGAAAGGUUGUAUAUAGUCAAAUCACAUAUCAACAGGGAGAUAAAGACACAUUGCCAUCAAGAAAUAACCACCAAUCUUCUCCUCAGAACUCUCCUUGUGGCAUAGAUAGCUCGUUUGUGGGUCCUACAGAGUCAUGUAGUGACCCCUUGAAAUCUUCAAUGACCCUAACCCAGCAGCUCAAAGGCAACAUCACGGACAGUGAUGAUGGCACGAAGCAGAAUCAUGUUGCAGCAGAAAUCCACAGAAUGUCUUGUCACCGUGACAACAGUGUCAAUACAGAUCAUCACCAUAGUAACCACACCGACAAGAGAAACAUGUCUGAGGUGAAACGAAAAGAGGAGGAAGACUGGGAUGAAGAGGAAUGGGCUGGAGACAGCAAAGUGGCCCCUGCUUGUCGUGACCACACCAUGAACACUACCAUGACAAACAACACUGUUAAGCACAAUUCCAGCUGCAGACAACCCACCAUGACCACCACAGGUGCUGAACUAAGCAGAGGUCACAUAUUCUUGCCAGCCGAUAUUCACAAAGACAACAUAAAUUAUAACUUUGUUGGUUUCAGAAACUUCACUGGACAAUUUGACAAUGCUGAUGAAUGAAUGCCACUGAUUCUCUCUCUCACACUCACUCACUCACUCUUUCUCUUGUUCAUAUAUAUAUAUAUAUAUAUAUAUAUAUAUAUAUAUACAAGAAAAAUAAAUGACAAAGAAAUGAACAAUUAUCCUAUGAACUGCAUUAGCUUACAGCUGUUUCUGCUAUAAGAGGCAGUCGACUCAUACUUGAGCUUCAUCAGAGCCUUGAAUAUGAAUUGCAAUUUAUUUGGGAAAGAAUUACAUUUGUGCCUAUAUAGGGAAUGGCAUCAACAAUGAGAAAAGUGUAUAGAGAUGUAUAUA
Molecule: unclassified non-coding RNA, 3054 nt
Filed under: Octopus sinensis (East Asian common octopus)
Lineage: Eukaryota; Metazoa; Mollusca; Cephalopoda; Octopoda; Octopodidae
Description: leucine-rich repeat-containing protein 7-like, transcript variant X1
Source: RNAcentral